UGAGGGAAACACGUCAAAAAUGGAAAAAUGAAUCAUGGAGGGUCCCUCCGGUGGAGGAAACGGAAAUUUGGAGAUUUAUUUUCUUUUUUUUUGCGGAUGGGAAAUCAAAUAAAAGUGAACGCGGCGGCGUCGGGGCUGCGGUUCAUCCUCUGUGGUCACAGAGUGAUCUGAAUUUGGGGAUUCAGGAAGUGAGAUUUGGGAAUUCAGGAGGUGAGAUUUGGGGAUUCAUCAAGUGAGAUUUGGGGAUUCAUCAAGUGAGAUUUGGGGAUUCAUCAAGUGAGAUUUGGGGAUUCAGCAGGUGAGAUUUGGGGAUUGGCCCUUCCCGGGCGGUUGGAGCAGCAGGAGCAGAGAUUUCCCGGGAUGAAGCCCCAGUGACAUCCACACCUGAAGGAAA
This is a long non-coding RNA of Oenanthe melanoleuca, 394 nucleotides long. RefSeq lists it as uncharacterized. The transcript has 2 exons. Lineage: Eukaryota; Metazoa; Chordata; Aves; Passeriformes; Muscicapidae. The record is from RefSeq and is a predicted model, not a curated record.